Molecule: ribosomal RNA, 253 nt
Filed under: uncultured bacterium
Lineage: Bacteria
Description: partial 16S ribosomal RNA
Rfam family: Bacterial small subunit ribosomal RNA
Source: RNAcentral
UACGUAGGGGGCAAGCGUUGUCCGGAUUUAUUGGGCGUAAAGAGCGUGUAGGCGGCUUUACAGGUCCGUUGUGAAAACUCGAGGCUCAACCUCGAGACGUCGGUUGAAACCGUAUGGCUAGAGUCCGGAAGAGGAGAGUGGAAUUCCCGGUGUAGCGGUGAAAUGCGCAGAUAUCGGGAAGAACACCCGUGGCGAAGGCGGCUCUCUGGGACGGUACUGACGCUGAGACGCGAAAGCGUGGGGAGCGAACAGG